GCCGAAGUGGCGGAAUGGUAGACGCAGCGGACUCAAAAUCCGCCGGUAGCGAUAUCGUGUGGGUUCGAGUCCCACCUUCGGCACCA
RNAcentral lists this transfer RNA (86 nucleotides) under Pseudoxanthomonas jiangsuensis. Its description in RNAcentral is "tRNA-Leu". It matches the Rfam family "tRNA". From Rfam's summary of the family: Transfer RNA (tRNA) molecules are approximately 80 nucleotides in length. Their secondary structure includes four short double-helical elements and three loops (D, anti-codon, and T loops). RNAcentral also lists the same sequence under 6 other names. The record is from RNAcentral. Lineage: Bacteria; Pseudomonadati; Pseudomonadota; Gammaproteobacteria; Lysobacterales; Lysobacteraceae.